AUUUACACAGAUUAUGUCUAUGAUUUGCAAUGGAUUUAGGGGAGGCUUCCUGGCAAGGAUUGGAGGAGGAUUGUUUGUGAUUAACUUAAAAGCAAGGAUAAAGCAAUGCCAUUAUUAAGUAAAUACUGCAGUCUGAAUCAACAUUUACUAACUGCUUUGUAAAGUCUUACAUGCUGAUUGGCUUCAGCAGGCAAGAUGGAAAAGAGGCAGUGUAUGGGGAGACGAGGAAAAAAAAUGAUUAAUUUUUUGGGCCAAGACACAAGAAUUCUUAUAUGCCUGAGCUGUCAUGUCAAGCAUGAAGAUUUUUUCAGAUGUUUUGCCUUGCUGACCUGAUACUCCUACUUUAAUCUGAAUCCAUCUCCUGUUUUGAUUGUUGAAGAACAAGAGACAUUAGUUUGGUAUCAUUCCUCUGGAAGAAUGAAAAUCCCCCAUAAGCAGUGUGAAAUUUGGGUAGAAGAAGACAAAGCCCAAAGGCUUUGAAUCUGAUGAUGCUCAUGACAUAUAGUAGCUGUCUUCCUUUCCAAACUCCAUGUCAAAAUAACACUAACUGGAUAAGUUUCUGCUAAACCUGAAAUUGCACAC
Molecule: long non-coding RNA, 582 nt
Filed under: Numida meleagris (helmeted guineafowl)
Lineage: Eukaryota; Metazoa; Chordata; Aves; Galliformes; Numididae
Description: lncRNA (ENSNMEG00000016197.1)
Source: RNAcentral